This 447-nucleotide ribosomal RNA is filed under the name uncultured bacterium. Its description in RNAcentral is "bacterial SSU rRNA". It matches the Rfam family "Bacterial small subunit ribosomal RNA", at positions 331 to 795 of the family's 1533-position model. The record is from RNAcentral.
CAAGACUCCUACGGGAGGCAGCAGUGGGGAAUAUUGCACAAUGGGGGAAACCCUGAUGCAGCGACGCCGCGUGAGCGAUGAAGUAUUUCGGUAUGUAAAGCUCUAUCAGCAGGGAAGAAAAUGACGGUACCUGACUAAGAAGCCCCGGCUAACUACGUGCCAGCAGCCGCGGUAAUACGUAGGGGGCAAGCGUUUUCCGGAUUUACUGGGUGUAAAGGGAGCGUAGACGGUUCUGCAAGCCAGAUGUGAAAGCCCGGGGCUCAACCCCGGGGCUGCAUUUGGAACUGUAAGGCUAGAGUGUCGGAGAGGCAGGCGGAAUUCCUAGUGUAGCGGUGAAAUGCGUAGAUAUUAGGAGGAACACCAGUGGCGAAGGCGGCCUGCUGGACGAUGACUGACGUUGAGGCUCGAAAGCGUGGGGAGCAAACAGGAUUAGAUACCCCCGUAACA